CGGACGGGUGAGUAACACGUGGAUAACCUACCUAUAAGACUGGGAUAACUUCGGGAAACCGGAGCUAAUACCGUAUAACAUGUUGAACCGCAUGGUUCAACAGUGAAAGACGGUCUUGCUGUCACUUAUAGAUGGAUCCGCGCCGCAUUAGCUAGUUGGUAAGGUAACGGCUUACCAAGGCAACGAUGCGUAGCCGACCUGAGAGGGUGAUCGGCCACACUGGAACUGAGACACGGUCCAG
Molecule: ribosomal RNA, 241 nt
Filed under: uncultured Staphylococcus sp.
Lineage: Bacteria; Bacillati; Bacillota; Bacilli; Caryophanales; Staphylococcaceae
Description: partial 16S ribosomal RNA
Rfam family: Bacterial small subunit ribosomal RNA
Source: RNAcentral